GUGGGGAAUAUUGCGCAAUGGGGGAAACCCUGACGCAGCGACGCCGCGUGAAGGAAGAAGGCCUUCGGGUUGUAAACUUCUUUGAUCGGGGACGAAGGUGACGGUACCCGAGGAACAAGCCACGGCUAACUACGUGCCAGCAGCCGCGGUAAUACGUAGGUGGCGAGCGUUGUCCGGAAUUACUGGGUGUAAAGGGCGUGUAGGCGGGGCGGCAAGUCAGAUGUGAAAUACCUCGGCUUAACUGGGGUGCUGCAACUGAAACUGUCGUUCUUGAGUGUCGGAGAGGAAAGUGGAAUUCCCAGUGUAGCGGUGAAAUGCGUAGAGAUUGGGAGGAACACCAGUGGCGAAGGCGGCUUUCUGGCCGAUAACUGACGCUGAGGCGCGAAAGCAUGGGGAGCAAACAGGAUUAGAAACCCUAGUAGUCC
This 425-nucleotide ribosomal RNA is filed under the name uncultured bacterium. RNAcentral's name for it is "bacterial SSU rRNA". It matches the Rfam family "Bacterial small subunit ribosomal RNA", at positions 354 to 796 of the family's 1533-position model. The record is from RNAcentral.